This 429-nucleotide ribosomal RNA is filed under the name uncultured Spirochaetaceae bacterium. Its description in RNAcentral is "bacterial SSU rRNA". It matches the Rfam family "Bacterial small subunit ribosomal RNA", at positions 355 to 776 of the family's 1533-position model. Lineage: Bacteria; Pseudomonadati; Spirochaetota; Spirochaetia; Spirochaetales; Spirochaetaceae. The record is from RNAcentral.
CUAAGAAUCUUCCGCAAUGGGGGAAACCCUGACGGAGCGACGCCGCGUGGAUGAUGAAGGCCGAAAGGUUGUAAAAUCCUUUUCUCUGUGAAGAAUAAGUGGGGAAGGAAAUAGCCUCAUGAUGACGUUAGCAGAGGAAUAAGCCCCGGCUAACUACGUGCCAGCAGCCGCGGUAACACGUAGGGGGCGAGCGUUGUUCGGAAUUAUUGGGCGUAAAGGGCGCGCAGGCGGCCCGGUAAGUCUGGUGUUUAAGACCGCAGCUUAACUGUGGUAAUGCGCUGGAAACUGUCGGGCUUGAGUGCAGGAGGGGGAGCUGGAAUUCCAGGUGUAGGGGUGAAAUCUGUAGAGAUCUGGAAGAACACCGGUGGCGAAGGCGAGCUCCUGGCCAUGGACUGACGCUGAGGCGCGAAAGCGUGGGGAGCAAACAGG